UACGUAGGGUCCGAGCGUUGUCCGGAAUUACUGGGCGUAAAGAGCUCGUAGGUGGUUUGUCGCGUUGUUCGUGAAAUCUCACGGCUUAACUGUGAGCGUGCGGGCGAUACGGGCAGACUAGAGUACUGCAGGGGAGACUGGAAUUCCUGGUGUAGCGGUGGAAUGCGCAGAUAUCAGGAGGAACACCGGUGGCGAAGGCGGGUCUCUGGGCAGUAACUGACGCUGAGGAGCGAAAGCGUGGGGGAGCGAACAGG
This 254-nucleotide ribosomal RNA is filed under the name uncultured bacterium. RNAcentral's name for it is "partial 16S ribosomal RNA". It matches the Rfam family "Bacterial small subunit ribosomal RNA", at positions 524 to 776 of the family's 1533-position model. The record is from RNAcentral.